GGGGGCGUAAAGGUUUCGACGGGGAAUUGAAAAUCUGGGGAGCACCGGGUCGGGUGCAGGUGGCCGACCUUAAUAAACCUGCACGGCAUUAAUUGCCGACAAUUAUAACACUCCUGUAGCUCUAGCAGCAUAACAGGCGUCCCCGAUCAAGAUGCCGGUGGUAAAAAGGGGGCGUCACUCACUACCGGAUAGGGGAGCGCAACGCCCGUAGCGCAACCCGAAACUCACGGGAUCGCCGUCUGACUGCCUUGUUCGUUGCGCAGGCAG
Molecule: transfer-messenger RNA, 267 nt
Filed under: Deltaproteobacteria bacterium
Lineage: Bacteria; Pseudomonadati; Myxococcota; Myxococcia
Description: partial transfer-messenger RNA
Rfam family: transfer-messenger RNA
About the family: Bacterial tmRNA, also known as 10Sa RNA or SsrA, is named for its dual tRNA and mRNA-like properties. Its role is to liberate the mRNA from a stalled ribosome.
Source: RNAcentral